UCCCCACUUAAGUCGUGAAUGGGAGAUUUGUAAGGUGGGUUCACUCUUAAAGUGGGCCCCAUUAUUUAUUUAAAAAAAGAAAAAAAAAGAGAAAAAGAAUAAAAAAAAGUGUUAGGUUGUUUGUAUUGUGAUUAACAGUAUUUUGUUAAAACAAGUGAAAUAGAAAUAUGUUGGAUAAGAUGUCUUGACAUGCUUGUACGACAUCGUGG
This 209-nucleotide long non-coding RNA is filed under the name Lathyrus oleraceus (garden pea). RNAcentral's name for it is "Pisum sativum (pea) long non-coding RNA (PSAT_LNC037817)". Lineage: Eukaryota; Viridiplantae; Streptophyta; Magnoliopsida; Fabales; Fabaceae. The record is from RNAcentral.